Molecule: ribosomal RNA, 492 nt
Filed under: uncultured Sphingobacteriales bacterium
Lineage: Bacteria; Pseudomonadati; Bacteroidota; Sphingobacteriia; Sphingobacteriales
Description: bacterial SSU rRNA
Rfam family: Bacterial small subunit ribosomal RNA
Source: RNAcentral
CCCGCUCAGAAACUCAAAUGAAUUGACGGGGGCCCGCACAAGCGGUGGAGCAUGUGGUUUAAUUCGAUGAUACGCGAGGAACCUUACCUGGGCUCAAAUGUAUGUUGACGUAUUCUGAAAGGGAUACUUCUUCGGACAAUAUACAAGGUGCUGCAUGGUUGUCGUCAGCUCGUGCCGUGAGGUGUCGGGUUAAGUCCCAUAACGAGCGCAACCCCUAUCAUUAGUUGCCAUCAGGUCAAGCUGGGGACUCUAAUGAAACUGCCUACGCAAGUAGUGAGGAAGGUGGGGAUGACGUCAAAUCAGCACGGCCCUUACGUCCAGGGCUACACACGUGCUACAGUGGCCGAUACAGAGGGCAGCUACCUGGUGACAGGAUGCAAAUCUCCAAAGUCGGUCUCAGUUCGGAUCGGAGUCUGCAACCCGACUCCGUGAAGUUGGAUUCGCUAGUAAUCGCGCAUCAGCCAUGGCGCGGUGAAUACGUUCCCGGGCCUU